GCCGGGCGCGGUGGCUCACGCCUGUAAUCCCAACAGUUUGGGAGGCCGAGGUGGGUGGAUCACCUGAGGUCAGGAGUUCGAGACCAGCCUGACCAACAUGGUGAAACCCCGUCUCUA
This 117-nucleotide small RNA is filed under the name Pongo abelii (Sumatran orangutan). RNAcentral describes it as "Metazoan signal recognition particle RNA (ENSPPYG00000041753.1)". Lineage: Eukaryota; Metazoa; Chordata; Mammalia; Primates; Hominidae. The record is from Rfam by way of RNAcentral.